This 252-nucleotide ribosomal RNA is filed under the name uncultured microorganism. RNAcentral's name for it is "partial small subunit ribosomal RNA". It matches the Rfam family "Bacterial small subunit ribosomal RNA", at positions 524 to 776 of the family's 1533-position model. The record is from RNAcentral.
UACGUAGGCGGCAAGCGUUGUCCGGAAUCAUUGGGCGUAAAGGGAGCGCAGGCGGAACAUUAAGCGGAUCUUAAAAGUGCGGGGCUCAACCCCGUGAUGGGGUCCGAACUGAGGUUCUUGAGUGCAGGAGAGGAAAGCGGAAUUCCCAGUGUAGCGGUGAAAUGCGUAGAUAUUGGGAAGAACACCAGUGGCGAAGGCGGCUUUCUGGACUGUAACUGACGCUGAGGCUCGAAAGCCAGGGUAGCGAACGGG